GACGAACGCUGGCGGCGUGCUUAACACAUGCAAGUCGAACGGUGAAGGGAUCAGCUUGCUGGUUCUGUAUGAGUGGCGAACGGGUGAGUAACACGUGAGUAACCUGCCCCCUUCUUCUGGAUAACCGCAUGAAAGUGUGGCUAAUACGGGAUAUUCUGGGUCUGUCGCAUGAUGGGUCUGGGAAAGAUAUUGUUUCGGUGGGGGAUGGGCUCGCGGCCUAUCAGCUUGUUGGUGGGGUGAUGGCCUACCAAGGCGGUGACGGGUAGCCGGCCUGAGAGGGUGGACGGUCACACCGGGACUGAGACACGGCCCAGACUGCUACGGGGGGCAGCAGUAGGGAAUAUUGCGCGAGGGGGGCAAGCCUGAUGCAGCGACGCCGCGUGAGGGAUGGAGGCCUUCGGGUUGUAAACCUCUUUCGCAAGUGAAGCAGGCCUGCUCCUUGUGGGUGGGUUGACGGUAGCUGGACAAGAAGCGCCGGCUAACUACGUG
This 489-nucleotide ribosomal RNA is filed under the name uncultured bacterium. RNAcentral's name for it is "partial 16S ribosomal RNA". It matches the Rfam family "Bacterial small subunit ribosomal RNA", at positions 28 to 507 of the family's 1533-position model. The record is from RNAcentral.